Molecule: ribosomal RNA, 253 nt
Filed under: uncultured bacterium
Lineage: Bacteria
Description: partial 16S ribosomal RNA
Rfam family: Bacterial small subunit ribosomal RNA
Source: RNAcentral
GACGAAGGGGGCAAGCGUUGUUCGGAAUUACUGGGCGUAAAGGGCGCGUAGGCGGUUCUUUAAGUCAGGUGUGAAAGCCCUGGGCUCAACCUGGGAGUGGCGCUUGAUACUGGAGGACUAGAGAGUGGGAGAGGUUGGUGGAAUUCCCAGUGUAGAGGUGAAAUGCGCAGAUAUCAGGAGGAACACCGAUGGCGAAGGCAGGUCUCUGGGCAUUAACUGACGCUGAGGAGCGAAAGCAUGGGGAGCGAACAGG